GGGACAACCCGCCGAAAGGCGGGCUAAACCCGCGUACAUGCCACCGGGGCAUCCCGGAGGCAGGAAAGGCUUCGGCCGGACAGGGAUGGGCAUGCGGCGCAUUAGGCAGUAGGCGGGGUAACGGCCCACCUAACCGACGAUGCGUAGGGGUUCUGAGAGGAAGGUCCCCCACACUGGUACUGAGACACGGACCAGACUCCUACGGGAGGCAGCAGUGAGGAAUAUUGGUCAAUGGUCGGGAGACUGAACCAGCCAAGCCGCGUGAGGGAUGAAGGUACAGAGUAUCGUAAACCUCUUUUGUCAGGGAACAAAGGCGGGGACGUGUCCCCGGAUGAGUGUACCUGAAGAAAAAGCAUCGGCUAACUCCGUGCCAGCAGCCGCGGUAAUACGGAGGAUGCGAGCGUUAUCCGGAUUUAUUGGGUUUAAAGGGUGCGCAGGCGGUCUGUUAAGUCAGCGGUCAAAGCCCGGGGCUCAACCCCGGCCCGCCGUUGAAACUGGCAGUCUCGAGUUGGAGAGAAGUAUGCGGAAUGCGCGGUGUAGCGGUGAAAUGCAUAGAUAUCGCGCAGAACUCCGAUUGCGAAGGCAGCAUGCCGGCUCCACACUGACGCUGAGGCACGAAAGCGUGGGUAUCGAACAGGAUUAGGUACCCUGGUAGUCCACGCAGUAAAC
RNAcentral lists this ribosomal RNA (669 nucleotides) under uncultured bacterium. Its description in RNAcentral is "bacterial SSU rRNA". It matches the Rfam family "Bacterial small subunit ribosomal RNA", at positions 140 to 807 of the family's 1533-position model. The record is from RNAcentral.